UAAGACAGAGGUGCCGAGCGUUAGGCGGAAUCACUGGGCUUAAAGCGUGUGUAGGCGGACCGUUAAGUACCCGCGUGAAAUCCCACGGCUCAACCGUGGAACGGCCGGGUAGACUGGCGGUCUUGAGAGGCCGAGGGGCCAUCGGAACAAGCGGUGGAGCGGUGAAAUGCGUAGAUAUCGCUUGGAACGCCGGCGGCGAAAGCGGAUGGCUGGUGGCCUUCUGACGCUGAGACACGAAAGCCAGGGGAGCGAACGGGAUUAGAUACCCCGGUAGUCCUGGCCGUAAACGAUGUCGACUAGGUCGCGGGCCGCCCCUGACGGGCGUUCGCGGCCGCAGCAAAAGUGCUAAGUCGACCGCCUGGGAAGUACGGUCGCAAGGCUA
Molecule: ribosomal RNA, 382 nt
Filed under: uncultured bacterium
Lineage: Bacteria
Description: bacterial SSU rRNA
Rfam family: Bacterial small subunit ribosomal RNA
Source: RNAcentral